RNAcentral lists this unclassified non-coding RNA (276 nucleotides) under uncultured fungus. RNAcentral's name for it is "partial contains 5.8S ribosomal RNA and internal transcribed spacer 2". The stretch from base 1 to 133 matches the Rfam family "5.8S ribosomal RNA", at positions 22 to 154 of the family's 154-position model. The record is from RNAcentral. Lineage: Eukaryota; Fungi.
UGGUUCCAGCAUCGAUGAAGAACGCAGCGAAAUGCGAUAAAUAAUGUGAAUUGCAGAAUUCCGUGAAUCAUCGAGUCUUUGAACGCACAUUGCACUCCUUGGCAUUCCGAGGAGUACGCCUGUUCGAGCGUCAUUAACCAUCAAGUCUGACUUGGAUUCAAUUUUGCUGCGCAAUCUUGCAAUGACAUCGGCGACGGACCACAGUGAUGACUCGCUCGCGUCCGCCGCCUCAACCUCUCUUCAGUUGACCUCGGAUCAGGCGGGGAUACCCGCUGA